RNAcentral lists this ribosomal RNA (678 nucleotides) under uncultured bacterium. RNAcentral describes it as "bacterial SSU rRNA". It matches the Rfam family "Bacterial small subunit ribosomal RNA", at positions 54 to 749 of the family's 1533-position model. The record is from RNAcentral.
CAUGCAAGUCGAACGAUGAAGCCUUUCGGGGUGGAUUAGUGGCGAACGGGUGAGUAACACGUGGGUAACCUGCCCUUGUCUUUGGGAUAAGCCCUGGAAACGGGGUCUAAUACCGGAUAUGACCUGCUCUCGCAUGGGGGUGGGUGGAAAGUUCUGGCGGACAGGGAUGGGCCCGCGGCCUAUCAGCUUGUUGGUGGGGUGAUGGCCUACCAAGGCGACGACGGGUAGCCGGCCUGAGAGGGCGACCGGCCACACUGGGACUGAGACACGGCCCAGACUCCUACGGGAGGCAGCAGUGGGGAAUAUUGCACAAUGGGCGAAAGCCUGAUGCAGCGACGCCGCGUGAGGGAUGACGGCCUUCGGGUUGUAAACCUCUUUCGCCCAGGACGAAGCGAGAGUGACGGUACUGGGAGAAGGAGCACCGGCUAACUACGUGCCAGCAGCCGCGGUAAUACGUAGGGUGCGAGCGUUGUCCGGAAUUAUUGGGCGUAAAGAGCUCGUAGGCGGUUUGUCGCGUCGACUGUGAAAACCUGGGGCUUAACUCUGGGCUUGCAGUCGAUACGGGCAGACUUGAGUUCGGUAGGGGAGACUGGAAUUCCUGGUGUAGCGGUGAAAUGCGCAGAUAUCANGAGGAACACCGGUGGCGAANGCGGGUCUCUGGGCCGAUACUGACGCUGA